This 430-nucleotide ribosomal RNA is filed under the name uncultured bacterium. RNAcentral describes it as "bacterial SSU rRNA". It matches the Rfam family "Bacterial small subunit ribosomal RNA", at positions 29 to 507 of the family's 1533-position model. The record is from RNAcentral.
AACGAACGCUGGCGGCAGGCCUAACACAUGCAAGUCGAACGCGUCCUUGGGACGAGUGGCAGACGGGUGAGUAACGCGUGGGAACGUACCCUUUGGUUCGGAACAACGCCGGGAAACUGGCGCUAAUACCGGAUAAGCCCUUCGGGGGAAAGAUUUAUCGCCAUUGGAGCGGCCCGCGUUAGAUUAGCUAGUUGGUAGGGUAAUGGCCUACCAAGGCGACGAUCUAUAGCUGGUCUGAGAGGAUGAUCAGCCACACUGGGACUGAGACACGGCCCAGACUCCUACGGGAGGCAGCAGUGGGGAAUCUUGCGCAAUGGGCGAAAGCCUGACGCAGCCAUGCCGCGUGAAUGAUGAAGGUCUUAGGAUUGUAAAUUACUUUCACCGGGACGAUAAUGACGGUACCCGGAGAAGAAGCCCGGCUAACUUCGUG